Molecule: ribosomal RNA, 253 nt
Filed under: uncultured bacterium
Lineage: Bacteria
Description: partial 16S ribosomal RNA
Rfam family: Bacterial small subunit ribosomal RNA
Source: RNAcentral
UACGUAGGGGGCAAGCGUUGUCCGGAAUUAUUGGGCGUAAAGCGCGUGUAGGCGGCCAGAUAAGUCCGCUGUGAAAUCUCGAGGCUCAACUUCGAGCUGUCGGUGGAAACGGUCUGGCUAGAGUCCGGAAGAGGAGAAUGGAAUUCCUGGUGUAGCGGUGAAAUGCGCAGAUAUCAGGAAGAACACCCGUGGCGAAGGCGGUUCUCUGGGACGGUACUGACGCUGAGACGCGAAAGCGUGGGGAGCGAACAGG